GGACAGCAUCAGUUUUUAAUAAAGGGCAGUGACUCCAUUUUCCAAGUGCAGUCCGGAUCUCCUUUACCAUUUCUUAUUUUCUCUUUUAAUUUUUCACACAAAAGCGUUGAUCCACGAAGAUCCAACCGUUCAAACUCAAAUAUAAUUUCAGAAACGUGAUCUACGAGACCCGAUCUACGUUUUUACCGAUCAUUUUGAGGUAAUAGGUUACUUGGAACUUGCUUGAGACUACCCAAACCAUGGGUUUUGGUUUGGUGAAAUUUUGUAAUGCAUUGUAUGAGGGUGUCUAAGAGACCUAGUGCUUAAUAUCCGCGCAGCCAAGACAUUGAUACUUUGGUUGCAGGUUUUGCGGAUAUAGAUAUUGACUCGUCCACCUAGCGUAUGGGAUGCUAUGAUUGGAGCAUAUCGCGACAGUCAUAAGUCACGGACUCAUGGGUAGUCUGCAUUUUGGGUGUUUUAUUUAUGGCUCGUGUCCUACGUGGCACAUGUAUUUGUUGCGCCUGUAUUUUGGUAUGUAAUUAGUGUAAUGUGUUUAUAAGCCUUAAAUAGAUAGACUUGUAAAUGGCUCUUGUUGUUGAUAACAGUUAUGUAUUAGAUGUAAUUCCGCUAUUGAUA
Long non-coding RNA from Alnus glutinosa, 615 nucleotides. RefSeq lists it as uncharacterized. The record is from RefSeq and is a predicted model, not a curated record. The transcript has 4 exons. Lineage: Eukaryota; Viridiplantae; Streptophyta; Magnoliopsida; Fagales; Betulaceae.